Non-coding RNA from Coniosporium tulheliwenetii, 140 nucleotides. Lineage: Eukaryota; Fungi; Ascomycota; Dothideomycetes. The record is from the annotation of a GenBank genome assembly.
UCUUCGAUGGUCUAGUGGUGAUGAUUUCCGCUUGUCAUCUUACCGAUACAAGUUCGCGGGAGACCGGGUUCGUCAUUUAUCUCCCUGAUCUUGCUAUAAAACACUAAUAUCUAUCCAGGGUUCGAUUCCCCGUCGGAGAG